AGAAAACAGCAGCUGAUGAUCUGAAGCCAGGCUGUGCUAUUGUCCGGCACACAAAUGUUCUACAAGGACCCAGACCACCAUGCAGUUCUCUGUGCACAGACUAUGAAGAAGCACUGGAAGAAGGGGGUAAUAACAUUCAGGCAAAAGGAGGCUGUUGAUCACAUCUGUAAUUCUUUCUGGCAUAAAGAGAACUAGGGGACAUCUACAAGAAUGUAUAUUCAUCUAAAUUCGUGGGACAGAGGAGUCAGGCAGAAUGGCUUUUCAAAGGCGUGCUGCAUCUUGCUCGGCUGGAAAUGUCUUUCAAUAAGGAGGCAACACGGAGGCCAUGUGAUACAAUCCCGUAGACAGAGCCAAGUGGAAUACAUCAAAGAGAGCCUUGAUGCAGAUGUUUCAUGCAGAAGAAAAUUAGGGUUUGCAAAGCAGUGGCAGAAAAGUAUCAGAAAAGUGCUCAAAGGUCCGCAUCUGCUCCAGUCCGGGAUAGGAAGCCAUCAUGAGGAUGUUGCCUUUCUUCCCUGCAUUUAAAAGGCUUUAUCUGGUUUAAAAAAUGAUACUAGUCUUUCUGCUUUUCUUCUUCAACUUGAUCUCCUCUCCACCAGCAGUCUCCUACCACUGUUUCUCUCUCUCUCUCUCUCUCUCUCUCUCUCUCUCUCUCUCUCACACACACACACACACACACACACACACACACACACACACACACACAAUUAAAAUUUCCAAGGAGGGCAGAAGUGCAGGGAAGCAGUGACAGUGGAGUAGAAAGGUGACCUGAUAAAAAGACCUAGUUUCAAUCCCACCUUUGUGUGGAUGGGAGAAGCAACUCUCUUCUGUGGGCUCAGUGUUCUCACCUGGAGAAGUGUGGGUGCUGAUCCCUGAUACCCUCACAGCUUUGCCACUGAUUCCAUAAAUAGCCUUUCUCAGGAAAUUGAUGUCGUCUGGAAAUGUCUGGCUGUGGGUUGUAACCACAUAUCUACCUACUAAGAUGUUACUUAAGACCUUGAUCGUAGGAUUAACAUCAAGGCAAUGGGCAUGUUCAUGUAGCAGUGGGUCAGUCUGAUUCCUUCCAGAUACACCUCAGUGGGGCAGCUCAGCACAGGAGAAACAGUAUUAGCUUAGAAGGCAGACAGAGUUGAGUUUGAAUUCAGGCUCUGUCACUUCCUGGCUGUGUGACCUCAGGCAAGUCACUUAGACUCUCUGAUCCUCAGUUUCUUCCACAGUAAAAUUGGGAUAGUAACCAUUAAUAAAGGUUGUUAUAGGAUUAAAUAAAAUAUAUGACAUAUAUGUGCUUGAUACAUGGUAGGUACUCAGCAAAUAUUCAUGUGAUUUUUACC
Molecule: long non-coding RNA, 1328 nt
Organism: Panthera uncia (snow leopard)
Lineage: Eukaryota; Metazoa; Chordata; Mammalia; Carnivora; Felidae
Exons: 4
Source: RefSeq, a predicted model, not a curated record